GAUGAACGCUGACAGAAUGCUUAACACAUGCAAGUCUUUGGCGAAUCUGUGCUUGCACAGGCUAGCCAAGGCGGACGGGUGAGUAACGCGUAAAGAACUUGCCCUGCAGACAGGGAUAACAGACGGAAACGACUGAUAACACCUGAUACAGUUGCCGGCACGCAUGUGCCUAGCAAUGAAAAGAGAUGCUGCAGGAGAGCUUUGCGUCCUAUUAGCUUGUUGGUGAGGUGACGGCUCACCAAGGCGAUGAUAGGUAGCCGGCCUGAGAGGGUGAACGGCCACAAGGGGACUGAGAUACGGCCCUUACUCCUACGGGAGGCAGCAGUGGGGAAUAUUGGACAAUGGGGGCAACCCUGAUCCAGCAAUUCUGUGUGCACGAAGAAGGUUUUCGGAUUGUAAAGUGCUUUCAGCAGGGAAGAAGAAAGUGACGGUACCUGCAGAAGAAGCGACGGCUAAAUACGUG
RNAcentral lists this ribosomal RNA (463 nucleotides) under uncultured bacterium. Its description in RNAcentral is "partial 16S ribosomal RNA". It matches the Rfam family "Bacterial small subunit ribosomal RNA", at positions 28 to 507 of the family's 1533-position model. The record is from RNAcentral.